UUGGUUUGUUGAGGCUCCACUAUCGUUUUGAGCUUAGCACAAAAAUAUACAUAUUACUAAGCAUUCAAAAACAAUCUAGCUUACUCUCUUUGCGUUCAUGCAAUGACUCUCCACACAUACUUAUUCAACUUAUUUCGUACAAUCUAUUUCAUUUAAUUUCUCCUUUUUAACUUAAUUAAAUCCUUAAUUUCUACCUCCUAACUUGUGCCUAAUUAUAGAAAUGGA
RNAcentral lists this long non-coding RNA (225 nucleotides) under Gossypium barbadense (sea-island cotton). RNAcentral describes it as "long non-coding RNA (GBAR_LNC000345)". Lineage: Eukaryota; Viridiplantae; Streptophyta; Magnoliopsida; Malvales; Malvaceae. The record is from RNAcentral.